Molecule: ribosomal RNA, 1893 nt
Filed under: Triticum aestivum (bread wheat)
Lineage: Eukaryota; Viridiplantae; Streptophyta; Magnoliopsida; Poales; Poaceae
Description: partial small subunit ribosomal RNA
Source: RNAcentral
AUGGAUGACGUCGGCGGCGCCUCCCCGGAUCACUACGGCGGAGGCGGGGGAGGAGGAAGCAUCCGCCUGGUCUGCGACAACUGCGGCGCGGCGGAGGAAUACAACCCCGACGACGCCGAGGACGGCUUCUUCUCGUGCCGCCAGUGCUCCGCUGUCCACACCUCCACCCAGGCGACUGCCGCGGACCCCGACGAUUUCCAUGUCACCGGCGCCAUGUCCUUCCACCGAGUUAGCCAAGCCAACAAAACCCCCAAAUCCCGCACCCCCGCACCCUACCCAACCCCUUACCCCACUCGGCAGCCCCCUGCUGCGACUGACUUCGAGGAGCCGCGCGACUUUGUGACUGGCGCCGAGGCUUGGGGCGAGCCAGAGGAGCUGGGUGCUCGGGUCCGGUGGCGCUACGUGCAGGGGCUGCAGGUGAUCCUGCAACAGCAGCUGGAAGUGCUGGUCAAGAGGUACCGGGUGGGCGCGCUUGUCUGCGGCCUGGCUGGAACUAUCUGGGUGCGGUGGGUUGCUACCUCCAAGGUGUUCGACGAAAUUUGGGCGUGGAAGGUGCUCGCAGAGGACGAGGCUGCGCAGAGACUGAAGUGCUCUGCCAGUGGAGGCGAACAGAAACCUCAAGAGGUGAAAUGUGAAUGGGGGGAUGAAGCCUUGCCACGCAAAGACAGGCGAAGGGUUGAGUUCAUCUUUCUGCGCUCAUUGAGAAUGAUGCUGCCAGUGUACUCAACAUUGUCUGUAUGUUUCCUGGCAUGUCAUAUUGCCCGGGAAGCCAUCCUACCGACUGACAUCUAUAGGUGGGCAAUGGAGGGUAAGCUUCCUUAUAUGGCAGCAUUUACCGAAGUGGACAAGCUUCUUGGGAGCUCUGUAAAACACUGCCCUUUGAGUGCAAGGCAACUAUUCAGACCAGUCCGAGUGAUUGGAACAUGGCAACUGGAAGCUGCAGCUGGGUCCAUAGCACAACGAAUAGGAUUGCAGCUUCCUUCAGUUAAUUUCUAUGCUAUUGCUCAACGCUACUUGAAUGAGUUGUCUCUGCCGAUAGAAAGAAUCCUCCCUCAUGCUUGCCGCAUCUAUGAGUGGGCAUUGCCUGCAGAACUAUGGUUGUCUAGUAAUCCAUUAAGGGUCCCCACACGGGUCUGUGUAAUGGCUAUACUAAUAGUGGCUCUAAGAGUUCAGUAUAACAUCAAUGGUCAAGGGAUAUGGGAGGAGAUUUGUGAGACAGGAAGAAAUGCAGAUGGGUCUGAUCCAGAUGCAAAUUUACCACCAUCUAAGAGGCCUGAAGGCGGCACUAGUGAGGAAUUCGGCACAAGGGAAUUGCUAUGCACUCUUGCAAGUGCCUAUGAUAAAAUUGAUGUUGCGCAUGACUAUUCAAAGGACCUUCACUCUUAUCUCAAAUACUGCAAAGAUAUUGUUUUCCCUGGAAUUGCAUGUUCAGUUGAAGAGGAUCACUUAGUAGAGAUCUUUCAGGAUAUGUACAAAGGACGAGAGGAUGGGAAUCCAAAAGCUCGCAUGGAGGAAAGGCGAACCACGAAUGGAGUGAUGAAUAAACGAUGUCGUGAUGGAACUUCUGUUGGUGCAAGGAGCUUUUGUGCAUCAUCAUCAGAGAUGCAAAGGAUUAAGUCGGAAAUGGAAGAUCAUGGGUUUUGUUAUCUGCCGCCAAGGAAGUGGCUUAGAUCAAAUGGCUACCUUCACUAUAGAAGGAAGACGAUAACCGGUAGUCUUGUUUGCAUCGGACAUGCUGAUUAUUACGUGUUGAUACGCUCAUUUGCAAAGCUUGCAGAAGUUGAUGUUAGGGUUCUGCAUACCAGUGUGCUAAAACUCGAGAGGAGACUUGCCUGGAUAGAAGAGCGAAUAGGCAGAAGCUUAGAUGCCUUGCAGAAUCCACCUAUUAGCUAA